This is a non-coding RNA of Triticum aestivum (bread wheat), 126 nucleotides long. NCBI's taxonomy places the organism in Eukaryota, Viridiplantae, Streptophyta, Magnoliopsida, Poales, Poaceae. The record is from Rfam.
GAAAAACUCCCUCCGUCCAAAAAAGCUUAUUCCUUAAAUGAAUGUAUUUAGCAUCAAGUUAGUGCUAGAUACAUCCAUUUGAGGGACAAGCUUGGGACAAGCUUUUUCGGACGGAGGGAGUAUACU